GGCUGCGGCAGCUACACAUGCAGUCGAACGGUAGCACAGAGAAGCUUGCUCCUCGGGUGACGAGUGGCGGACGGGUGAGUAAUGUCUGGGAAACUGCCUGAUGGAGGGGGAUAACUACUGGAAACGGUAGCUAAUACCGCAUAACGUCGCAAGACCAAAGAGGGGGACCUUCGGGCCUCUUGCCAUCAGAUGUGCCCAGAUGGGAUUAGCUAGUAGGUGGGGUAACGGCUCACCUAGGCGACGAUCCCUAGCUGGUCUGAGAGGAUGACCAGCCACACUGGAACUGAGACACGGUCCAGACUCCUACGGGAGGCAGCAGUGGGGAAUAUUGCACAAUGGGCGCAAGCCUGAUGCAGCCAUGCCGCGUGUAUGAAGAAGGCCUUCGGGUUGUAAAGUACUUUCAGCGGGGAGGAAGGUGUUGUGGUUAAUAACCGCAGCAAUUGACGUUACCCGCAGAAGAAGCACCGGCUAACUCCGUGCCAGCAGCCGCGGUAAUACGGAGGGUGCAAGCGUUAAUCGGAAUUACUGGGCGUAAAGCGCACGCAGGCGGUCUGUCAAGUCGGAUGUGAAAUCCCCGGGCUCAACCUGGGAACUGCAUUCGAAACUGGCAGGCUGGAGUCUUGUAGAGGGGGGUAGAAUUCCAGGUGUAGCGGUGAAAUGCGUAGAGAUCUGGAGGAAUACCGGUGGCGAAGGCGGCCCC
This 700-nucleotide ribosomal RNA is filed under the name Enterobacter cloacae. Its description in RNAcentral is "bacterial SSU rRNA". It matches the Rfam family "Bacterial small subunit ribosomal RNA", at positions 34 to 728 of the family's 1533-position model. The record is from RNAcentral. Lineage: Bacteria; Pseudomonadati; Pseudomonadota; Gammaproteobacteria; Enterobacterales; Enterobacteriaceae.